GCCAGUAGUCAUAUGCUUGUCUCAAAGAUUAAGCCAUGCAUGUGUAAGUAUAAGUAUUGUACAGCGAAACUGCGAAUGGCUCAUUACAUCAGUUAUAGUUUAUUUGAUAUUUGAAAGUUACAUGGAUAACCGUGGUAAUUCUAGAGCUAAUACAUGCAAAAAGCUCCGACCGUAUGGGAAGAGCGCUUUUAUUAGACCAAAACCAAUGGGGUCGCAAGAUCCCUUUGUCUGGUGACUCUGGAUAACUUUGUGCUGAUCGCAUGGCCUUGAGCCGGCGACGUAUCUUUCAAGUGUCUGCCCUAUCAACUUUCGAUGGUAAGCGAUUUGCCUACCAUGGUUGUAACGGGUAACGGGGAAGUCAGGGUUCGGUAUUCCGGAGAGGGAGGCAUGAGAAAUAGGCUACCACAUCUACGGAAGGCAGCAGGCGCGCAAAUUACCACCUCCUAGAACGGGGAGGUAGUGACGAAAAAUAAACAAUACCGGACUCAAUGAGGCUCGGUAAUUAGAAUAGAGUAC
This 516-nucleotide ribosomal RNA is filed under the name uncultured eukaryote. RNAcentral's name for it is "SSU rRNA". It matches the Rfam family "Eukaryotic small subunit ribosomal RNA", at positions 16 to 522 of the family's 1831-position model. The record is from RNAcentral.